RNAcentral lists this ribosomal RNA (406 nucleotides) under uncultured bacterium. Its description in RNAcentral is "partial 16S ribosomal RNA". It matches the Rfam family "Bacterial small subunit ribosomal RNA", at positions 30 to 526 of the family's 1533-position model. The record is from RNAcentral.
AUUGAACGCUGGCGGCAGGCCUAACACAUGCAAGUCGAACGAGUGGCGGACGGGUGAGUAAUGUCUGGGAAACUGCCUGAUGGAGGGGGAUAACUACUGGAAACGGUAGCUAAUACCGCCUACCAUCGGAUGUGCCCCGCUGGGAUUAGCUAGACGGUGGGGUAACGGCUCACCUAGGCGAAGAUCCCUAGCUGGUCUGAGCGGAUGACCAGCAACACUGGAAUUGAGACACGGUCCAGACUCCUACGGGAGGCAGCAGUGGGGAAUAUUGCACAAUGGGCGCAAGCCGGAUGCAGCCAUGCCGCGGGUAUGAAGAAGGCCUUCGGGUUGUAAAGUACUUUCAGCGGGGAGGCGUUACCCGCAGAAGAAGCACCGGCUAACUCCGUGCCAGCCGCCGCGGUAAUUC